AUAAUUCAUUAACAGGUUUGGGAUCAAUUCAUCGACAGUUGAUGUCAAGGCAGAUUCUACUCAUAGAAAUUGUAAACGUUGAUGCAUGAAGCUUAAAAUUGCUAUGCUAGCUGCAGAUAACAAUAGCCUGACUAGAACUUCUAAUUUAUUCUACUAGAAGCCUCAAGGCUUUAACUCUAUGUUCAGCCAACAUGGGUAGGACCAACAAAUCUAGGUAUGGUUAUCUGCAGCUAGCAUAGCAAUUUUAAGCUUCA
Molecule: unclassified non-coding RNA, 254 nt
Filed under: Hevea brasiliensis (rubber tree)
Lineage: Eukaryota; Viridiplantae; Streptophyta; Magnoliopsida; Malpighiales; Euphorbiaceae
Source: RNAcentral